RNAcentral lists this ribosomal RNA (497 nucleotides) under uncultured bacterium. RNAcentral describes it as "partial 16S ribosomal RNA". It matches the Rfam family "Bacterial small subunit ribosomal RNA", at positions 28 to 507 of the family's 1533-position model. The record is from RNAcentral.
GAUGAACGCUGGCGGCGUGCCUAAUACAUGCAAGUCGAGCGAACGGACGAGAAGCUUGCUUCUCUGAUGUUAGCGGCGGACGGGUGAGUAACACGUGGAUAACCUACCUAUAAGACUUGGAUAACUUCGGGAAACCGUAGCUAAUACCGGAUAAUAUUUUGAACCGCAUGGUUCAAAAGUGAAAGACGGUCUUGCUGUCACUUAUAGAUGGAUCCGCGCUGCAUUAGCUAGUUGGUAAGGUAACGGCUUACCAAGGCAACGAUGCAUAGCCGACCUGAGAGGGUGGUCGGCCACACUGGAACUGAGACACGGUCCAGACUCCUACGGGAGGCAGCAGUAGGGAAUCUUCCGCAAUGGGCGCAAGCCUGACGGAGCAACGCCGCGUGAGUGAUGAAGGUCUUCGGAUCGUAAAGCUCUGUUAUUAGGGAAGAACAUAUGUGGAAGUAACUGUGCAGAUCUUGACGGUACCUAAUCAAAAAGCCACGGCUAACUACGUG